UCUUAAAAUCUUUUUAUUCAAACUCUUGAAACUCGAUGAGGUAAACCGCAAGAGCGCUAACGUUCCCGGUUCCUUGGCAUCUCAGCUUGGUUUCAAACCGCGUUCAUCUGUCGUUACAGAGAAACUUCAAAAAUCAAUAGGCAUUACUGGGUGGAAACCUAAAACACUGCAAUUGAAAUUGGACAGUGGCYAUCUUGCUGGGUAACGUAUAUUCUCUGUAUGACAGUAACCACCGCUCUUUGACGAUUUUAUACCAUGUUGGUGCGAUCAAAACAGUCCGUAGCGACGUGCAAGUCAUCUUCUCAUCCUAGACGACUACACGUUACAGUCCCCUGGCAGCUCGACAAGAAACUGAACCUCAUGAUGGCGGAUUUUCUUGUUUCUCUACUGUAACAUUUUCGCUGAAACGUUCUAGGAAAUCGUUCGCAGAUGGASAAAGUGGAUGUUGUUUCAGCGUUACCUCACAAAGAAAGUCUACAGGCCUUUGUCAGUACAACAGAUAUUCAAAUUGUUUUCAUAUUGCUUUAGUUUUAGAAUACAAAACUUCUCGAAGAAAUUGUUGUUGAAACUUCAUUUGAAUUUUCACACCCCGAUGAAAUCUUUUCWGAGUUUCAGUUCCAYRUUKGUACAAGGACACGCGAUUGGCUGCCGUUUAUAACGACCUUCACAUGAUGCGGCUUCAUGGCGUCGAUGGUUUAGUCACCCUCAGCGUAGAGUUGCAGAAAGUUGAAUUUAGUGUGUGUACCUUUUGAUUGGUUGUUSUAGAAUGUAUGAUCAGACACCAACAGAAGAAACACAUUUAUUGGUAUCACUUGCAACUGUAUUGUGUAUUACACAGGUCUUAGUAUUCAACUGAGGGCGUAUGAAUAUUGAUACUACACCAUCAACACACAAGUUAUAUUAUCUCUGUUUAAUUUUGAUCAAGUGUUCUGAAACUAACAUUCUAUCUAUUGCAAUCAUGUAGGUAUGCAAAUAUCUUUUUCUGAUCACCGCGAGUGUUACAUUGUCUGUGUUUUGUGAAGGCUUUUGUCAACAUUUUACCCUGAAGCUAUAUAGUUGGUUGCUUUCAUCUCUAUUUAGCUACUUCAAUCUCUGUUUCCUUCCUCUCUUAGCUGUCCCUUUCAUCUUCAACAAAAUCACAUUUUUGUAUUAAAUAAUUAUAUCAUUCUAUUUGAUUCAAAUGAUUUUAUUUACAUCUAAACUGUGCUGAACUAUAAAUGUUUUCAUUGUGCCCCUCAGAAGAGGCUUUCAGCGAUAUUAUCACACUCUAAGAAUGAGAUUUAAGAUUGGAACGUAAUAACUUAAAUAACGAAGAGACCGACUAACUAUACAAGAAAUAUGAAAUAUGCUGGUGGAAAGCCACUAGUUUACCAUAUCAUAUGUUAAGYGUUCUGUGAAUAUAUCUAUAUAAUGUACCAUCUAAUAGUAAAUUACUAGUAUUAUGUAUGAUAAAUUACUGGUAAAAAGAAUGCUCAAUGCAACUCUGAAAAUAUUUAGAAAAACCUCAUCAACCUCACAUGAAAGCAUCAGUUGUGACUUAUGUCCAGUGUUCUAUACUUUCAGUUUAUGUCUAAUGAGGGAAUCAUUGAAAUUAUAGAAUCACGGGACUAGCUAGAAGUAACGAUACGUCUGAAACGAGAAAAAAAUUACAUUCAAUGAGCUUCACAAAACAUUCCUGUUUCGAUACUGUUCUUAAAGAAUGAGUCCCCUGAGUCAAAUUUUAGUGUGACUAAUUUCAAUGUGAAUUUAAUAAAUCAAAUACAAAAUACAACACAGAUAACAGAAAGAUAAAUUAUUUUGAAAGAAAACUAGAAAAACUUUAGGUACUUUCAAUCAAUUGUAAAGAAAACUUAAUUAGGAUGAAAACGAAAGAAAAAACGAGAAGCAACAGCUGUUUUAUCACUGUAUAAAAAAAUGGUUGCUUGGACAAUUCCUUCACUUUAGCUCCCUAAGACAUGCUGAGAUACAACURGUUAUCUAUAUUAUUAGCUGAGUCAGCCCAUGGCUUCUAAUUGCUCUCCUUUGGUAAUCACUCUGUAAUUUAUCUAAUCGGUUUGUUGAUAAAGUACACGGUCGCUUAAAUUGCAUUUGAAAUAAUCAAAUAACAUUUGUAAUUCAGUUCAAAAUGGCAUGUUUAGUUAGCUCCCAUAUCAAGAAUUGUAUAAAAGUGUUGAGAAAACCUAUUGUAAUGGGAUGUUUAGUCAAAUGAACAGUAACAAUUGMUUAAAACAUGUCUAAUUGUCUCUCAA
Molecule: long non-coding RNA, 2249 nt
Organism: Exaiptasia diaphana
Lineage: Eukaryota; Metazoa; Cnidaria; Anthozoa; Actiniaria; Aiptasiidae
Exons: 2
Source: RefSeq, a predicted model, not a curated record